RNAcentral lists this long non-coding RNA (887 nucleotides) under Salvator merianae (Argentine black and white tegu). Its description in RNAcentral is "lncRNA (ENSSMRG00000012321.1)". Lineage: Eukaryota; Metazoa; Chordata; Lepidosauria; Squamata; Teiidae. The record is from RNAcentral.
UUAUGGGUUUCAUCUCUACUGUAUUUUCUUUUCCUUGCAGAUUCCCUUGAGGUUCUACGGCUUCCCUGGCAGCCGGCAAAGCAGAGAUGCUCCCACCUGGCUGGUUGUCGUCACACCUGUUUAUGUGGAGUGUUGGAUCUGUGGUCUCGGCGAUACUCAUGAUUCUGCUGCUGCUUCUCUGCCUUCCCUUUAAGAGGAACAAGCGGCAGCUAUCGCCGACCAUGCCUAAGAGAAAUGUGGACACGUCUGAACUCAUCAGCGUGACUAAGCUAGAAGACCAUCCAAAUCCAGAAGACAUGACCCUCAGAGAGGAGACGUCAAAGAAAGGGUGUCGAGAUGCCAAACGCGGUGAUCCCACCAGAAGCGUGAACGGAGAGGAGCAGAGGGNCAGACUCAAACCAGACUGAAACCGCUUAGAGCUCUUGGGGUGUGCGUGUGUUUUCCAUUUUCUGAGUCUCCCAGGGAAAAAAGAAGAAGCACAGAGCUUUGGGUGGUGCUAAAAGUAGCACACAAGCUGCACUUUACAUGCCGUUUUCUAGGAGAAAUGGUGGUGGUGGUGUGCUGCACCGUGGCACGCUGAGAUCUGAACGGGUCUUCUAGACUUGCACUGCCGGAAUCUCUUGUGUUUCACGUGGCACGAGGCAUCCCACCCGACUCAGGGCCGAAGAGAGCGGCUGGCAUCGACAGGAGAAAUGUGCUGCCUUUGAUGGUUCUGUGUCCAGCUCCGGAGACUCUGCAACAGUUUUUAAAGAAAAACAACACUGCAACUUUUUAAAGCGACAACAGUCCAACCGUCUCCACCACACCACACCACACCACACCACGCUACAUCCUUCUCAGGUUUUUAAAUUCUUUGGAAUGAAUAAAAUUAUUUUGUCUUCAAAUCA